UUAAGUUAUUAAGGGCGCACGGUGGAUGCCUUGGCACUAGAAGCCGAUGAAGGACGUUACUAACGACGAUAUGCUUUGGGGAGCUGUAAGUAAGCUUUGAUCCAGAGAUUUCCGAAUGGGGAAACCCAGCAUGAGUUAUGUCAUGUUAUCGAUGUGUGAAUACAUAGCAUAUUAGAAGGCACACCCGGAGAACUGAAACAUCUUAGUACCCGGAGGAAGAGAAAGAAAAUUCGAUUCCCUUAGUAGCGGCGAGCGAAACGGGAAGAGCCCAAACCAACAAGCUUGCUUGUUGGGGUUGUAGGACACUCUAUACGGAGUUACAAAGGACGACAUUAGACGAAUCAUCUGGAAAGAUGAAUCAAAGAAGGUAAUAAUCCUGUAGUCGAAAAUGUUGUCUCUCUUGAGUGGAUCCUGAGUACGACGGAGCACGUGAAAUUCCGUCGGAAUCUGGGAGGACCAUCUCCUAAGGCUAAAUACUCUCUAGUGACCGAUAGUGAACCAGUACCGUGAGGGAAAGGUGAAAAGCACCCCGGAAGGGGAGUGAAAUAGAACCUGAAACCGUGUGCUUACAAGUAGUCAGAGCCCGUUAAUGGGUGAUGGCGUGCCUUUUGUAGAAUGAACCGGCGAGUUACGAUUUGAUGCAAGGUUAAGCAGUAAAUGUGGAGCCGUAGCGAAAGCGAGUCUGAAUAGGGCGUUUAGUAUUUGGUCGUAGACCCGAAACCAGGUGAUCUACCCUUGGUCAGGUUGAAGUUCAGGUAACACUGAAUGGAGGACCGAACCGACUUACGUUGAAAAGUGAGCGGAUGAACUGAGGGUAGCGGAGAAAUUCCAAUCGAACCUGGAGAUAGCUGGUUCUCUCCGAAAUAGCUUUAGGGCUAGCCUCAAGUGAUGAUUAUUGGAGGUAGAGCACUGUUUGGACGAGGGGCCCCUCUCGGGUUACCGAAUUCAGACAAACUCCGAAUGCCAAUUAAUUUAACUUGGGAGUCAGAACAUGGGUGAUAAGGUCCGUGUUCGAAAGGGAAACAGCCCAGACCACCAGCUAAGGUCCCAAAAUAUAUGUUAAGUGGAAAAGGAUGUGGCGUUGCCCAGACAACUAGGAUGUUGGCUUAGAAGCAGCCAUCAUUUAAAGAGUGCGUAAUAGCUCACUAGUCGAGUGACACUGCGCCGAAAAUGUACCGGGGCUAAACAUAUUACCGAAGCUGUGGAUUGUCCUUUGGACAAUGGUAGGAGAGCGUUCUAAGGGCGUUGAAGCAUGAUCGUAAGGACAUGUGGAGCGCUUAGAAGUGAGAAUGCCGGUGUGAGUAGCGAAAGACGGGUGAGAAUCCCGUCCACCGAUUGACUAAGGUUUCCAGAGGAAGGCUCGUCCGCUCUGGGUUAGUCGGGUCCUAAGCUGAGGCCGACAGGCGUAGGCGAUGGAUAACAGGUUGAUAUUCCUGUACCACCUAUAAUCGUUUUAAUCGAUGGGGGGACGCAGUAGGAUAGGCGAAGCGUGCGAUUGGAUUGCACGUCUAAGCAGUAAGGCUGAGUAUUAGGCAAAUCCGGUACUCGUUAAGGCUGAGCUGUGAUGGGGAGAAGACAUUGAGUCUUCGAGUCGUUGAUUUCACACUGCCGAGAAAAGCCUCUAGAUAGAAAAUAGGUGCCCGUACCGCAAACCGACACAGGUAGUCAAGAUGAGAAUUCUAAGGUGAGCGAGCGAACUCUCGUUAAGGAACUCGGCAAAAUGACCCCGUAACUUCGGGAGAAGGGGUGCUCUUUAGGGUUAACGCCCAGAAGAGCCGCAGUGAAUAGGCCCAAGCGACUGUUUAUCAAAAACACAGGUCUCUGCUAAACCGUAAGGUGAUGUAUAGGGGCUGACGCCUGCCCGGUGCUGGAAGGUUAAGAGGAGUGGUUAGCUUCUGCGAAGCUACGAAUCGAAGCCCCAGUAAACGGCGGCCGUAACUAUAACGGUCCUAAGGUAGCGAAAUUCCUUGUCGGGUAAGUUCCGACCCGCACGAAAGGCGUAACGAUUUGGGCACUGUCUCAACGAGAGACUCGGUGAAAUCAUAGUACCUGUGAAGAUGCAGGUUACCCGCGACAGGACGGAAAGACCCCGUGGAGCUUUACUGUAGCCUGAUAUUGAAAUUCGGCACAGCUUGUACAGGAUAGGUAGGAGCCUUUGAAACGUGAGCGCUAGCUUACGUGGAGGCGCUGGUGGGAUACUACCCUAGCUGUGUUGGCUUUCUAACCCGCACCACUUAUCGUGGUGGGAGACAGUGUCAGGCGGGCAGUUUGACUGGGGCGGUCGCCUCCUAAAAGGUAACGGAGGCGCUCAAAGGUUCCCUCAGAAUGGUUGGAAAUCAUUCAUAGAGUGUAAAGGCAUAAGGGAGCUUGACUGCGAGACCUACAAGUCGAGCAGGGUCGAAAGACGGACUUAGUGAUCCGGUGGUUCCGCAUGGAAGGGCCAUCGCUCAACGGAUAAAAGCUACCCCGGGGAUAACAGGCUUAUCUCCCCCAAGAGUUCACAUCGACGGGGAGGUUUGGCACCUCGAUGUCGGCUCAUCGCAUCCUGGGGCUGUAGUCGGUCCCAAGGGUUGGGCUGUUCGCCCAUUAAAGCGGUACGCGAGCUGGGUUCAGAACGUCGUGAGACAGUUCGGUCCCUAUCCGUCGUGGGCGUAGGAAAUUUGAGAGGAGCUGUCCUUAGUACGAGAG
RNAcentral lists this ribosomal RNA (2688 nucleotides) under Staphylococcus aureus VET1368S. RNAcentral's name for it is "bacterial LSU rRNA". It matches the Rfam family "Bacterial large subunit ribosomal RNA". Lineage: Bacteria; Bacillati; Bacillota; Bacilli; Caryophanales; Staphylococcaceae. The record is from RNAcentral.